AUUCCAUGAUGGGCACAUUCUAGGAUGUAGUCUUGAAAGCGCUCCCAUGCUUCUGGAACAGAUUCAUCAUUUUGUUGCUGAAAACUUGUAAUCUUCCCACGGAGAGC
Molecule: small nucleolar RNA, 107 nt
Filed under: Sorghum bicolor (sorghum)
Lineage: Eukaryota; Viridiplantae; Streptophyta; Magnoliopsida; Poales; Poaceae
Description: Plant small nucleolar RNA R71
Rfam family: Plant small nucleolar RNA R71
About the family: R71 is a member of the C/D box family of snoRNAs containing the C (UGAUGA) and D (CUGA) box motifs. Multiple nearly identical copies of this snoRNA have been identified in Arabidopsis, and it is thought to function as a 2'-O-ribose methylation guide for 18S ribosomal RNA.
Source: Rfam by way of RNAcentral